Pyrus x bretschneideri (Chinese white pear) is the source of this 937-nucleotide long non-coding RNA. RefSeq lists it as uncharacterized. The record is from RefSeq and is a predicted model, not a curated record. The transcript has 5 exons. Lineage: Eukaryota; Viridiplantae; Streptophyta; Magnoliopsida; Rosales; Rosaceae.
GGUAAUUUUAUCCGUUUGGUUUGGCACGGAUUGCUGGGUUAGAAGCGUGCGCUCUCCUCCCAUCUCUCACUCUUCCUAUGUCGCUCCUACUCAAACCCUAGCAGCCACAACACCAUCUCUGGAAUAGCAUCGGCUCCUGCUUCCUAAAACCAAAACCACACAAACUGCCCUCCAUUUCUGUAACUCGAGAGCUUCGGUGAGAUGAAGGAGAGGAGCAGGGAGAUGGGCUCGAGUCCGCCAACGGCGGAAGAGAUCUUCAGGGAUUACUGUGCUCUGAGAACCGACGCCGUCCACUCUUUAACUAACGAAAGUAUUGUCAUUGGACAAAAACUCUUACAAGCAAGCUGCAAAUCUGUUCAAAGAAACCAAGAUCUGUUAAUAUCAAAUACGUCAGCCAUUGGCAAUGGAAUAGCUGGACAUGGAAGCUAUAACUAGGUUAAGGAGCCUGGUGGAUCUAAUAAAACGACUAUUGCUGCAUAUAUAGAGGACGAAUAUUGGGCUCCUCAAGAUUUCAAGAGGCUAUUGUCUGCAAAAUUAAAAUUAUUGACAACAAGUCGUAAACUGAUUAAGAUUCUUGCUAGAAGGAGAAAUAUCGAGGAUAUUAUGAUACUUAAUGCUUGCUGGUACUUGGAUAUAUAAUUUACUUGGUCUACAAUACCGUCUUGUUCAUGUGCUUCAAUUGGGAUUUUCAUUUUUAAAAAGGCUAAAUAGCCAAAAUGGUCCCUAAGAUUUGCAUAAUUAAUAGAAAUGGUAUUGAAAAUCAAUAGAAAUGGUCCCUGAGAUUGUCAACCAUCCCUGAUUUUGGUCCUUCUGUUAAAAACUCUUUAGACAAUUUUCAAAGCUUUGUAACUCAAUUGAUUCUUAACCAAAUUCGACCCAUAAUAUAUCAAAAUGAAGAUAGGAAAGUGUAGAACAAGAUUAUACCUAUUUGAAAGCC